Molecule: long non-coding RNA, 23103 nt
Filed under: Prunus persica (peach)
Lineage: Eukaryota; Viridiplantae; Streptophyta; Magnoliopsida; Rosales; Rosaceae
Description: long non-coding RNA (PPER_LNC005792)
Source: RNAcentral
UUGGAUUAGAAAUGAGAGUUGGGAUAUUGAAUCGGAUGGCGCAUCAAACUUAUUGUACGGUAAAUUUUAUUAUAGAGAAUUAUAUCAUGAACCCAUGGUGAUGGCGUAUCAAACCUAAACCCUUUUUUUUUUUUUUUUGUGAACCCAGCAAUGAAAGAUCCACUUAGAUCUAACGACUCUACUUCCAUAAGACAAAGGAACCUUAAAAGCCCGUCCAAAAAUACCGGGAGAAAAAAAACCCAACACAAAACUAGGGAGAACCAACACCCGUCAUAAAACUAGGAGAAACGCUCUCUACAACAUGGAGAGAGAUGCCCAGUUUAUUAGCCGAAUGAGUUAAUUCCAAGAGAGUGGUUGCAUAGAAAAUAGGACAACGAAGAAGGGAGAAGAGUGGUUGAUAUAAUCUUCCUACCAACAAGUGAAGUCAAAAAAUGGUAAAAUCACAUAUGAUGGGUAUCAAGAGAUCAUGGUUGGAAUAGUCUCUUCAAAAAGGACUAGCUAAAAUAACCUUGUAGGAGUUUACCAACACUUGGUUAAAAAUAAGGGUCAUGCUAGGGAGACCAACUUUAGAUACCAACUUGUGUACCAACUCUCUAAUAGAGGUGGAACCCACCAAUACAAUGGGUCCCAGACUCUAUUAGAGAGUUGGUACACAAGUUAGUAUCUAAAGUUGGUCUCCCUAGCAUUUUCCUAAAAAUAAUUAGCUUCUUAUAUUUAAUGGAAUGACCGGAUUUAAUUCAGAAGUGACACUUGAUUAUGUUUAGCUCUUCGGAAAUGUACUAAUACUAAUAUUGGUCAUUAUAUUUAAGGAAAUGGAAUGACCGGAUUUUUUUCAUUUUUGGAUUUUAUUUAUUUAUUUAAGAAGGACUAGAGGCUGCACUUCUGCACUGGGUUCCAGUAUUUCUUGAUGUUUGUAUUCUGGGUCCUUGUUGAAUGAAAGCUUCUUUUUUUAUUUUUUUAAAAUAGAAAAUAAGAUAAAAACGGGUUUAUUAGGAAAAACCCACACGUGUUUUUAUUUUUGACGUUGCCCCAUAACGAGAUGAUGGGUCAGCCAAUAUUUAUUAUUUCAAUUAGUCAAUUUUUUUGUGUUCCUAUUUUACCCCCUACAACGUUUUUUUGUGCUAACCCAUUAUUAUUUCAUAAUUUAAUGCUAUUUAUGGGAAUAAAAACUAAGGUAAAUAAUUAUUGAAUUUAAUGUAGCCUAUUGACAAUUGUUCUAUGGAUUUGGAUCCUUUGUUUUGAUUUACUUUGCCAUAAUCUAGUUUACUUUUGUUCUCCACAUGGCACCUUAUUAAAAUUUACAUCUUUUCUUUCUCCAAUCUUAGAACACAAAAACGUUCUUACUAAGAAGAGUAUAAACAUAUCGAGUCGAAUGAGUAACUAGCUCCAAGGGCAUAGGAAAUUAAAUCAUGUUCACCCAAAUCAUAGAAAACCUAGAGUGAGAAAGAACAUAAGUCAUGUAAAGAAAAUAUAGAAGUAGCAAACUCUACGUAUUCAAAGAAAAAAAAAACUGGGAAUUUAUUCCUACAAAUGAUGAAGAGAGACAAUUCCACUUUUUAUUUGCGAGGCUUUGUUAACUUAUUAUUUUCACCGAAUUUUUUAUUUUAUUUUAUUUUCUAAUUCUUGAAAGGAAGAAGGACUAGACUUUAAAAUGCAGAAACCUUCCCAGGCUUGGAAGCCAAUCCAAAGCAUGCCAAUGUAACUUGAAUGAAAUUUCAAGCGAGUCAUUGACACUCCAGCAACAAUAUGUAUAAAACCAAAACUUAGGAAGAGACCAAAUCGCAGACACAAAAACUUGUAAAUUGGGUGACAAAAUUAAUUUAUUGGUCUACAAAUUACACUCAGAUUAUUGCCUGCAAAUUAUAAUUAUGGAGAAUGAAAACAAGAAGAGGUUGGCAGUUUUGGUGGGCUGCAAUUACCCAAACACCAGAAAUGAGCUGCAUGGUUGCAUAAAUGAUGUGGUGGCCAUGAGAGGCACACUUGUGAAUCGCUUCGGGUUUGAUCCAGGAAACAUUCAGCUGCUGACUGAUGCUGCAGCUGCAGGUUCUUCUUCCUCAGUCAUGCCCACAGGUGCAAAUAUUAAGAAGGCACUUGGUGCAAUGGUUGAUCAAGCUAAGCCAGGUGAUGUCUUGUAUUUUCACUAUAGUGGCCAUGGAACAAGGAUCCCUUCAUUGAAGCCAGGCAACCCCUUCAGGCAGGAUGAGGCUAUUGUGCCUUGUGAUUUCAAUCUCAUCACUGGUGGGUGCUUUUAAUCUAAUUGUUCAAUUGUUUAAUCUCUUGUAUACAUGUUAAUUUUAGUAAUUUAAUGUUCUAAUGAGUAAUUAUAGAGGUGAGAUUUCGCUUUAUACAUCCCACCUUUAUUAUAGAGAUGUGGUCUACAAUGUGGUGUCUUUUCCUGAUUCACAGUAAGACACUUAUGCAUUUUUGCUAUUGUUCAAUUAGUUAAACAUAUAACUAAUUACAACAUGCACGGAUAGCAAGUGUGAGUAUGAGACGAGUUGUAAACUUGGAAGUUGGUGAAAAUAACAUGGUUAAUUUAUUGGUAACUUUUAUGUGCAGAUGUGGAUUUCAGACAACUAGUAAACCGCUUGCCAAAGGGAGCAAGCUUUACAAUCCUGUCAGACUCAUGCCACAGUGGAGGGCUCAUUGACAAGGAGAAAGAGCAGAUUGGACCUUCUCAUGUCACUGAAAUUAGUAACACAUCCCCAUCAGUUUCCUCUAAGCCUAAGGGCAUUCCUUUUGAGUCCAUAUUACACCACCUCGCAUCAUUGACAGGCAUAAACACAUCUGACAUUGCAACCCACUUGUUAGAGUUGUUUGCAGCAGAUGCCAGCCUCAAGUUUCGUUUGCCUCCGUUCGAACUACUCAACAUGUUCGAGUCAUUGAACCCUGAUGAGGGAAUCUUACUAAGCGGGUGUCAAGCAAAUGAGACUUCUGCUGACAUGACGAACCCGGUCAUGACUAGAGGAAAGGCAUGUGGUGCUUUCAGCAAUGCAGUUCAAAUGCUGUUGAAGGAGCAUGAGGCUGACCUAAGCAAUCGACAAGUUGUGAUGCUUGCUAGACAAGUUUUGAGAGAACAAGGCUUUGAGCAGCACCCUUGUCUCUAUUGCAAUGAUGAGAAUGCUGAUGCAACUUUCUUAUGCGAAUCUCAUAUCAGCUCAAGUUUAUGAGAUAUUGGUUAUGCUAUGAUUUGUCUAAUAAGUAAUGUAAGACCAUAUCACUUGCUUAUUGUUUUCUUCGUGUAAAUAAAGAGGGCACUGAUAUUGCCACUUUCUUGUGGCAACCUCUCAGAGCUCAAGUUUAUUAGAAUCUGUCUAUUAUCUACUGUUUCUUUGUUCAGCUCAAGUGAGGCAUUACUGAAUUCUUUGGUUGAAUAAAUUCUUACUCAUCAGGCCUCCCGUGGGGGCCGUGGGGGAAAAUAUAGCAGUAAACCAUGAACCUUUUUAAGUUAUGCCAAGAUUGAAGACAUCUUUUCUUGAGAAGAACAUUCACAAGGUCCUUCUAUUAAAUAUUCAAGAAUAAAAAUAGCUAUACAAAGUAUUAAGGAAAAGGUAUCCAAGACAAACUAAAUUACACAAACGCAUGAAGCAAAAGCAAAAAUGAAAUGACAAAAAGAGAGGACAAAUUUUGUCUCUCUAAUUAUAAUGUUGUACACUCAAACCAUCUAUUUCACAUGCUUAAGGUUCUUCACUGCUCCACAGUGAAUUUGCUUAUCUCCUUUGGAAGUUCAAGAACUUGAUGCCGUAUGCAAAGACAAAGAAGAAGAGGAGGACCCAACCAACAUGCGCAACGACAACAGGGAUCAGAAAAUCGUAGUCAAAACCUAAAAACUCUUUAAGGAAUACAUCAACAGCUUUUUUUUCGUCAAUAUUAACUGUGAUCUCUGUCUUUAUGUCACCAACUUGGGAUGUGAAGAUACCAUAGAUUGUCCAAGCAACUGGAGAACCCCAGUAGUACCACCUCCACCAGAUGGGAAUUAGCUGCAAGAGUGAGAUUCAAUUGUUAUGAUUGCAGAAAUAAAAGAGAUGGUUUGGAACAAGAUUAAUCUUUGGUAUAAGAACAAAUGAGUUCCAAAUGACAUACCGGCCUGGGGAUGAGGAAACCAGAGAACAAGUUCCAGAAGCUCAAGAAGAAAGACAUAGUAAUUGCAGCAAUUUGAUGGCCAGGAGUUAGGGCAACCACCAUCAUCCCGUACAUUGAGAAGUAGGUAAAGCACAUGAAUAUGAAGUAGUAGAAGUACAGAAACUUCUCCACCUUAAAAUUGUACCCGAUCAUGAAAAAUAGAAGACAGGAAUAGACAAGGGUUUGGAUUGCAACAUAAAUUGUCUCAAUAGCCACCUACAACACCAAUAUAUGUAUCAAUAACAAAGAUACGAGAUUUAACAUUAUAUAAAAGCUAAGACGUAACCAAGCAUAACUUCCAAUAUCUUACCUGAGCAAAUGCAUACGGCAACUCUGAAUACAUUCCCGCUGCUCUUUCACGAUAGAAAACUGUUCGUUCAACCGCAACCACAGAUUGCACAGCAGAAGCAUUGCUAGCUCCAAGGAAAAGAAUAGCAGAAUAGGUAGCUCCCAAAAGAUUAAUCAGGUCUUGUUGCUUGUGUCUGUUCACAAGAUAAUAUACAGUUAAACAUCAUAUACGUGACACUUAUAUCAAAGAACAUGCAACUGAAUCACAAAAUUCAAAGAAUAAUAUGUUCGAAAGAUGUAGCUCAUAAUAAAGUUCUUAAACUUACAUAUCGUCUCCUUUGCCCCAGAAGAUAAUACCAAAUAAUACUCCGAUGCAAAUUGUCAUGAAAAACCUAAUGGCAUUGUACCGUGAGUUCCUCCAGUAUGACCAGUGUUGUUUCCAGAAGCAAGCCUUGCACUGAGUUAAAAAGCUUUGGGAGUAUUGGGUGGGGAAGUAAAGAUCCUUGGAGCCUGGUUCUGGUACGCUUAGUUCCUUGAUAAGUUCCUGAUUUCUCCUGAACAAGUGAAACAAAAAUGAAGAAAAAUUUAACACACAACGACAAGUGGGUAGCAAUGAUAGAAAUGAAGAAAAACGAAGUUACAUGCAACUUACCUAUAGAGAUCAGAGUUUGCAAAUAUUUCUGCAAAGUCCACGUCAUUUUGAGCUUCAAUUGAAGCAGAGCUGACCUCUAACAUCCAGGUAGCAGGAUUGUAACCUUCUUUGAUCUUGGAAACCCCUGGAAUAGCCUGCAUGGUGAAAUAGAUAAAGUCAAACUUUAACUAUAAAACCCUUGGUAGAGGACAAAUUUUUCUAUGAUUGAAACAUAUUUGAUCCUUAAUAUUAUUCAUGGUUCUAGAAACUUGCAUUGCAUAACAACAACAAAUUAAAGCCCACAAAUAAAUAUGUUGGAAGUGAGAUGUAUAUGGAUUAUGUGAGAUUGAUGUUUGAAAGAUUUUUUUGACUGAAGUUGGGUCCAACACUAAGUCAGGUUUAGACCAAAUAUUAACUUUUGGAUCCAUGGAUAAUGAUUUGAGCAUAAACUUACCUCAAAGUAUUCAACAAGCUUGUGAGACUGGCGACCUAGAGGACCUGCAUAAAUCACCUGUCCUCCUCUUUUCAUUAAGAAAAGCUGCAAUGCAAAACAAAACUAAUGUGAAAUAUAGUACUUAAAAUAAUGAACAAUGCUACAGAUUUAACAGAUUAAAAAUCAAAUCAUACCUCAUCAAAUGCUUCAAAAAUGUCAAUGCUAGGUUGGUGAAUUGUACAGACAACAGUUCGUCCUGUAUCCACAGUGUUUCUCACAGUACGCAUAACAAUUGCAGCUGCUCUAGCAUCAAGACCUGACGUUGGCUCAUCCAUAAAGAUGAUGGAAGGGUUGGCAACCAAUUCUACAGCAAUGGUGAGCCUCUUUCUCUGCUCAGUCGAAAGUCCAUCAACUCCUGGAAGUCCAACUAAAGCAUGCCUCAAUGGGUUAAGCUCCACCAAGUCCAUAACCUCAUCAACAAACAUCUAAAGAUAAGAAAAAGAAAAUCAGGGUCAGCAACAUCAUCCAUCUCAUCCUGUUCUUAAAUAUGGAGCAACAUGAUUGUCAUUUUGGCAAUUAACUUUGACUUCUUUUUAGGUGAAAAAGACUGCUGUAGACACAUUACAUUGUAUUAUCAGAAAUUAAAGGUUAGAACUGUUUUAGGUGUUAAAUAAAUAGCAUACCUUUCGUGUCUCCGUUUUGACAUCCUUGGAAAUACGUAGCCAGGCAGAGUAUAGGAGAGAUUCAUAGACAGUAACAAAUGGUGAAUGAAUGUCAUUCUGUUCACAGUAACCGCUGACCCGGGCAAAUGUGGCUUGGUUCUUUGGGAAACCAGAGAUCGUAAUACUUCCUUCAAUAUAGCCGCCGGUCUUUCUUCCAGCUAAGACAUCCAUCAAGGUGGUCUUUCCAGCACCACUGACACCAACUAAUGCAGUCAAAACACCCGGCCUAAAUGCACCACUAACAUCUCGUAGAAGUUGCAGUCGGGUCUCUUCAAUCCCUUGGCUCUUCAUUUCCUGGUGAGGACACAAAAAUUGUUACCAAGAAGAAUCAUAUUAAACCACGACAUUUGUUUUAUAUCAUAUGCUCUAGAAUUCAUGACUUAAAUCAGCGGAACUGUUCAUUAAAAAAAAUCAACCUAAACUAAAGCGAAUUAUGCAAAAUGCUUUAAAGUAAAAUAUUUCUACUAUAUAUGAAGAGAAGACACUGUCUCAUUUCCAAUUCCGUUUCUGUUUCUUUUGAUAAGUUCCCAUAUAGAUUCUUGAAAUUAAAACUUCAGGCCUCAGAGGAAAAAUGUGCAAGUUACUUACAGCAGGCAUAUCCACAUAGUAAUUCACAUGGUUGAAAGCAAGUGAGAGGGGCUGGAAGGGCAAAACCAUUCCUCGCUUGGCUUGGUUAUUUUCAGCACUAACAAUUCCUUGAGCAUUUCUGACUUGCAUAUCAAUACCUGCCAUUGAUCACUAUUUAUUAGGCGUAGAAAAUAAUUUGAUAGCAAAGCUAACGCUCAAGAUGUAAUUGUUAUGCAAUAGAAUUUGUCCUACCACAUGACAUAAAAGAAGAAUGAUGCAUAAUGUUAUCUAGCUAGCAUAAUGAUGCAAAAUGGAUUGUCAUCUUUUAGAAACUCCUAUUAUUUACCUUCUGGAUUGGAUUGUCGCCUCUUCCUACUUUCAGAGUUGUCGUCAUUCUCAAUUAGAGUUUUAGUUUCACUAAGAGCUGAAAUUGAGUAAAAAAGAAACAAAUAAUCAGUGCUUGAUCCAUUACCAUAACUAUACCUAAUGACAAAUGAAAAUUGUUCACUUACGAUCUAAGAAGGUCAGUGCUCCAAUGAAAAGAACAUUAAAAAGAAGAGAAAACCCGAAGAGCGCUCCAACACAAAUCCAAUACCAAGUCUCUGUAGUAAACAGGCCUCUUUCCCUCAGAAGUACCUUUCCAACUGUGUCAUUGCCGUUGACAGGCUGUGGAAAGGGAUUAAAAAGUUCAUUAAGCUCACACACACAUCAACUUAGAUUUAUGAAAAAAAAAACAAAUUAAUUUUAUUUUCAAGGUAUACUGAGAAUUCAAUUUAAGGCUUAAGAGAACUUACAGUGCUCCAUCUUUUAUCAAGAAAUUCAUUGAUAGCAAUUGCAUUUUGCCCAUACAUCAUAGGUGAAACAUAGUAGCCCCAUAUCAUCCAUGGCAAAAUGUCAUCUGCACAGCACAAUGGAAUAUUGUGAACAUUUGAAAAUAUAUGAAAGGAAUAACAGUCAUUAAUGCAAUUAUUCAGAAGUCUAUAUCCAGUGCUGGUAUCAAAUUGGUCAAUGCAGUAGCUUUGACAUUGAAAUGAGAAGGAUUUCUAACCUUUAGCAACAACAAAACCUCCUAGGACAAACACGAGUAGCAAUGUAAAAGAACCAAUUGUGCCCGAAACAACCUCACUUCUACCAAGGGCAGCAAUGAAACGGAAGAGGGAGAGAGCCAUCUGGUGUAUACCAAAGAAAGCCAAGAACUGUUUGAAGAACCUGAACAAAUUGGCAUAUGUCAGAUUAAAAAAUAACUAGGUUGCAAUAUCCUUCAUCAUUUAUUUAGUAUCAAAAAACUAAAGCUUCCAAGAAUAAUAUUGCUGAUAAAUUAAAGCUUACCUACUGGCAGCAGGUGCAAAUCCAAUGCUGUAGUAUGUCAAAAUUAUCCAUAUCCCAGAUUCCAUCAGUGAAAUGGGAAUUCUGGUUAGCCAAAUGGGCAAGCCAAAGGCCCAGCCAGGGAAGAACAAGGCAUCCCUUUGUUUGAAGAACACAGGAAGCCUGAAAACUGUCAUGGCAAGCUCUGCCAUUCCAUUAAACAUGACGUUAAUGAGACUGAAAAACAGUGCUCCCCAAAAUUUUGCCGAAUCUUGUGCUUGUCCAGCUUUCAUUUCUGUUCUUAAGAAUACCGUCAGAGCAAUUGUAGCCAUGAUUGUUAUCUGGGUAGUUUUGAAUAUGUAUACAAAAGAGUUACGCUUCAUCAGCAACCAUUCCCUCGCAAAGCAUGCCUUGAAGAUCUCCAUAUUGGAUAUUCCAUACUUUUCCUUCACCAAUGCAGCAGGAUGGACUGUUCGUUUAUCGUAUGGAACUCUUAGUUCUUCCACAAGCCGUUGGCCAACAUGGAAAGUGGUGAAAGCCCGAACGAAAUCAGAUACUGAGACAUAUCUAUAAGGUUGGUUCUUCUUAUACCAGUAUUGUUCUUGGUCCUUCUUUGAGGUCACUUCUUGCAAAAAGUCUGCAACACCCUUUCUGUCUGGGCAUCUGAACCCCAUAAAUUCAAAGAAUUCCAGAACAUUCUCACGUGGGCCUUGGUAGACAAUCUGACCCUCAGAAAGAAGGAUAAUGUCAUCAAAAAGAUCAUAAGACUCAGGUGCUGGUUGCAAGAGAGAGAUGACCAUAGACACAUCCAUGAUAUGAACCAUCUGUCUCAUGAACUUCACAAUCUGAAAGGUUGUGGAACUGUCCAGCCCUGUUGAUAUUUCAUCCAUGAAAAAUGCUUUCGCUGGUCCAACCAACAUUUCUCCUGCAUUCAGAGCAAACACAACAGAUUAUAAUACAAGGACAUAUGUUUGUACCUUAAUUAUCAUUCCUACCCUGCGACGCCAGACUAAAAAGGUUUGUAAGAAAUAAAAGGUCCAGUGGGCAUAAACCGCAUUGGUGCCAAAGCAUAUAGAAAAUCUAAGAAAUGUUUUAAAAGUAAACAAGCAAAAAUUACAUGACAGAGAGUAACAUACCAGUAGUUACACGUUUCUUCUGUCCACCAGAUAUGCCCCUUCUCAUGUCAUCACCCACCAUAAUAUCAGCACAGAUAUCAAGCCCAAGUAUCUAUCAAAAUAAUUAUAAGACGUUAGGCUUGUACAAUAAGAAUACGAAAACGAGGAGACAACCUUCUAACUGAAUCAACAAACCUUGAGAACAUAAUCUGUGAUCAAACUAGUUUCCUGGCCUGUCAUAGAUGUGGCUUUCAUGAAUGCAUCAAUCUCAGGAUCUGGUUUGAUGCCUGAAUCUUUCUCCCGUCUAGACAACUCUACAAGCAUAUCAUACCUGGUUCCAACUCCCAGGCAACGUCCAGAGAAAUCCAAUGUCUCACGAACUGUCAUCUCACCAUAAUGAAGAUCAUGCUGACUAAUAUAAGCAGAGGUUCUCCGAGGCACAAAUUCCUUGAAUUCAUGGCCACAGUAGGUCACUUUCCCAGUUUCCUGUUUAUAACCCCAACUUAUUAAUACAUGCUAAACAGUGUACAUGUAUGCACACUAAUACAAUUGACAUAAACUGAUAAAAAAAAACUAAGGAGAUGGAGAGGAUGACAAACCCUUAGAUCCUUAUCAAGCUUUCCAGCAAGUGCUUUUAGCAGUGUUGUUUUUCCUGACGAUGGAGGUCCAAGAAGCAGUGUCAUCCUGAGAAACAAAACAAUAAGCUCAUGAUGGAGUUCAGAAACAAAACUACCUCGCAUGAGUAGCAUACCAAAAAAAUAGUUUCCAUCUUCUUUCAGAGGAACAAAUGACUUUGUUUAUGAUAACUGACUAGAUUUUUUUCAUUGAUGCAACAAAACUUGUACUAGUCCUGCAAAGAUCUUAGAUAUGGAAACCCAUGAGCAUACCUUGAUGGUUUAAUAAUACCGCUCACAUCUUGGAGUAUCUUGACAACUCUUUUCUUUGACGGUGAGAGUCCAAUCAACCCAAUUAGUCCCUAUUCACAGAUAUAGAAAUUUAGAAACCUUAGAUUCACUAGCAGAAGCAAGAUUAAGAAGUGAGGUUUGGGAUUAAGAAACGCUGAAACAAUACCUCUAGUUGAUUCAAUGUGGAAUUUAGCAGAGUUGGAAGUGCUCGAGUGCCAACAUAUGCAUCUCCCUCUAUUGAUACAUUCUGGAAUCUAACUUCAACCUUAGGAACCUCAAUACCAACCCUGUUUCCAAAGUAAAACACAAAUUACAAGGUCAUCCAAAUCAAACAUGGUUAGCAAGAAACCAAAGGAAAAAUACAUCUUUAUAUCAUCUGCUUUUAUGUUUUAUUUUCAAAGAUUUAAACUUUGACCUCCCCGGAAGGCUAUAGUUGAUUGAAUCAUGCAGACAAUUAAGCAGUGAUUAUGUUUUCUCAAGCUCCAAACCAAACAAUUUCAGAUUGGAAAUUUUAGUUAUUUCCCUUUUCUCACAAUUUCAAAUCCAACUCUAAUUUUUCACUUCAUGCUUUUCUGAUCAACCAAACUAAAAACCGAAAUAGAGACAAACCUGUCAUUUCUGGCUCUGAGCCUCUGCAAGAACCUCUCAUUAUCCUCCUCAACAACCUUAAGUAUGCUCUCCAUCAACUGCUUCUUAUCCUGAGCUCCGAGGUUUGCAACAUCAACUUCUUCAGUUAUAACCCUCCCAUUGCUCAUGGCCUGUCUCAACAUCCCCCUCCUCAUCCUAUCAUAAGUGGGCAGCCUCUCUAUAGCUGCCCACCUGAGCUCCUCCUCCUCAUCCACCGCUUGCUGCCGCCCACUCCGCUGAAACACGUCGGGCGCGUUCCACAUUUCCCGAACACUCGUCGACCUCCAGCUCCGCCGGCUGCUAGACUGCCUUGCCAGAUCAUCUCCGGCUAAUGCCGCCGCCAUUUUUAAUUCCCAAAACCGAUCAAAUCACUCAAAACUCGAGAUUUCAACUGAUGGGUUUGAAAAACAAAGCCAAGUUAGGUGAACCCAAUUUCAGAAACCGGUUGAACUCUAUGUUCAAAGCAGCUUGGACUGCUCAAGUUGAAAAACCAAUCAAAUAUGCACCCAAAGAAUGAAUUUUUAAUUCUUGCCUUCUUAAAACUCUUCACACUUCUGCACUUGGUUUUUGGUGAAGAACGAGAAAAUGUGAAAAUAAGAGAGAAGAAAGAGAGAUAUUUUUGCCAUGGGUUUCAGGUCAGCCUUAUAUAGACCAACAAGACCAGCAGGACAAAGAAGAAAGUCUUCUGUGAGACACAGAGAGAGAGAGAGAGAGAGAGAGAGGAGAGAGACUCUUUCCAACUGUUUUUUGUUUUACUUUCUUAAUAUUUUUUAAGUCUUUUUUUUUUGGUGUUUUUAAGUUUUCCUGUGUGUUUGAUGGUCGUCGGUCAAACUGAGACUGCUUCUGUAUAUCUUCGUCCCGCGGACGGGUUCGGCGAAUCAGCGUGGAAAAAGAAGAACGUCAUAUAUAUUUUCUGACCGUAGGAUGAGGUUUAGCAUUUGAAUCUAACGGACUAUAAUGAGGGUGUACGGUGAAAGCUAUGUGUUCUUUCCUCCCUAAAUUUUGACCCCGGAAAAUUGUCCAGUGUUGUAUUUUGCUGACCAACUGUGGUUAGCGCCACACUCAAUAAUUCUGCUUCUCUUGGAAAAAAAAAUAACAUUAAAUUAAUACCAAAAAAAAUGCUGCAUAUUGUCUUUUUUCUGAAUUUAAUAAGAAAUGCUAUUUCUUGUCUUGGUGGAAAAAAGCUUGUAAAUUGGAUCCACGGGUGUUGAGCUCGUGGGAAUAUUCUUUUUGUGUUACUGUCAACCAACGGUGAGGUGGGGGUUGAAUUUAUCUUUUACUUAUUACAUGUGAUUGUUAGAAGACAUCAGAAUGGCUUCCAUUUCCAUCCAUAAUUGCAUGGCAGAUAACAAGAAUUCUACAUCUGAAUUAGAUUAAGUAUUUAAAUGGCAUUCCAUAUCAAGUUGCAGUUAUAUUAAGAUAUAUAAAUGGCUAUUCACUUGUGGCUGCUUAGGAUUUUAGGGGUAGAAGCUAAUCGGGUCUAACUUAAUGAAAAGGGGUCUUAAUAUAUAAAUUAGUAGUUUCAGGUUUAAAUUUUCAUGACACAUUUGUAGUGUGUGUGAGAAAUCCCCUUCCUUUUGUAGUUUAUAUUAUAGCUUAUAUUAAAUAAAUUUUUAAAAAUAAUUUCACGAGUAGAAUGCUAACCUACCUUGAUCUCUAGUUUAUACUAUAGCUUGUAUUAAAUAGAUCUCCCUUCGCUUGUUUUUUUUUUUGCCCCAGAUCAAUUUCAAUCCCUCUCACCUUAUGUUGCCUCUUUGUGUUGCGGCUUUGUCUUGGUGUUGUUUGGGUUCUUUUUGCAGAUAUGUGGGUUUUGUCUGCGUGGUUGUGGGUUUCCUCUCAACCUAGACUUCGACGGUGGUGUUCCUAUUUUUUGUGGUGGCGAUGGCAGUGACUCAACUUUCUAUCAUCUAGGUUGGUUUUGGAGUUUUUUGGAUUGUAAUAAUUACACCAACUCUUUGUGAGUUUGGUGUUCUAUUUGUAGUUGAGCCUCUACUUGUAUUUUUUUCUUUUUAGAGUUUAAAAGUUGUAGUUGUAUUGGAUAGUUUUGGACGCUGUGGUCCAUGUUUGAUUUGUUUUGGCUUGCGGCUUUCAUGUAGAAAUUUGUUAGGCUUUAUGCCACUAUUAGUGGAGAUAUAUCAUGUGGUGUAUUUAUAUGUAUCUGGAAUAACCUUGCAUGGUUAUUAUGCUUCCACAUUUGUAUUAACCUUUUUUGGGUAGUUUAUGCCCUUGUGGCUGAUGGCCUUGGUACCUAAGUUAUGAAUACAAUUAUCAUUUACUCUAAAAAAAUUAUAUCAACAUUUUAUUUCUCAAAAUAUUAUAUUAUAUUAUUUAAAUUAAUCUUAAAUUGUGCAUGUUUGGCUCUAUUUCAGUAAAAUGAGAAUGGAGUGAAAUGAGAAGAGUCAUGAAAUCACUUUCAUUUCAUUGUCUGGUUGAAAUUUGGGAUCAAGUUUCAAAUCAGACCUUUUACAUGACCUAACUUUUCUUUACUAGUCUCUUUCCCAAUGACCCAUGACUUUUAUAUUAUUUACUUUCUUUACCUACUUAUCACAAAGCAUAGGACAAGAAACUCAUUGUAGAUGAAUUAGAUGUUAUGUUUGGAAUAAGUUGCUGAGAUUUUUUAGGUCUUUUAUGUAAUUUUUAUCUCUCUUUUUGUGAGAGUUUUUGACCUCUUCUUUGUAAGAGCUUUCUACCUCCCCUUUACGAGAGUUUUAUUUGUAUUGUUAUAACUUGGUUUUUUCAAGCUUUAUCUAUUUUUUAUUAUUCUGAGUUUGCUCUCUUAGAGCAUCUCAAAGGGAGAUGUCAUAUACCGAACAUCAAAUUUAAAUUUGAUGAUUGAUGUGGCAAUUUGACAUCUUAUACAGCUUUACACUCCACCCGAUAUGUCAAAUUAAAUUAUUAUUUUGUUAUAUUUUAGUGUUGAUUUAUUUUUAAUUUAAAAUAAAAUAAAAUAAAAAAUAAAAAAAUAUUCAUUUGACAUCUUUCUUUUGGGAUGUCAAAAAUAACAUCUCAACCUCCGGCCUUCAUUCCACAUCAGCUUUGACACAUUGGUUGGAGUGAUGUGAGACGUUAUUUCUAGCCGUUAAAUAUCUAUGUGGCACUUUUGACACAUCGGUUGGAGAUGCUCUUAGUUGGGAUGCCUAUUCUAGAAUUUCCUCAAUUUGGGUGAUUGUUAGUAGAAGAACCCUAGAUUAUCUUAAUUUUGAUGUUAGAUCGCUCCAUUAUUGUAAUGGCCAUUUAUGGCUCGUAACUUUUUUGCUGAAUUAUGAAUAUGAUUCCAAAAUUUCUCAACAACAAAAAAUUUGAUUUAGAUGGAGAAAAAAACUUGGCUCCUUACUUAUCACAAGCCAAGCUCUUUAGAUGAAACAACUCGCUUUAAUUACUCGUAAAUUUUUUUAUCAAAGAACUAAAAGUUAAAUCAUUCGAACUCUUCUACUUUUUUCGGAUAAAAAUGUCUCGACGUUCGAGCCUUGCAUCGACCAUAUAAAUAUGUAUUCUCGACUCAUUAAUUGAUUAUUUCAAUAUAAAUAUAGAUGUUCGAUUAUUUAUUCUACCCAAAGUAUGCGCGUCAAAAAAGUUGAUGAAUUAUUAAAAUUAGUUAUUUUUGUACUCCCAUCUCUCUUCUAUGUGAUUGCACCACUUCACCUAACGAAAAAGCCAAGUAUUAACUACCUACUCUACACCAUUAAUUAGCUCACUUAUAAUGUUUAUUUUAGAGCAUCUCUAAAGCCCAGUAUGAAAGAGAUUUGACUUGUAGUCAAUUGUCUCGAGUUCAUAGUACUUUGGUAAUAUGUGUGAGAAACUCUCAUUUCCUUUCUCAAUUAUGGCAACAACAAAAAUUUGGUGGAUGAAAGACAAUCAUUUUUGACAUCUCAACUAAUAAGCCAAAUGCAGACAUGGAUUAAAGGUUGAGGUCUUAGCAUCAUGACAAUUAUUUAAUUUGAAAAUGAAUGUGAAGAACUCUAUGAUGAUAUUGAUAUAAGAAAAAAAAAACUGCGUUCCAACCCUAAACCUUAAGCAUAUUUAUGAAUCUGUAAUUGAAUUAGAAGGAAUUGAAUUGAGUAGGAGUUGAAUUGAGGAGAGUUAGAUUUCAAAUUCCUAUUGAAGUUGUUUAUUAAACCAUAUGAAAUUGGGGUAGGAGCGAUAAUAAUUAUUUAUAAGUUGUUUACUAAAUUCACGCAAAUUGGAAUUGAAACCAAAUUGACUACUAAAAUGCCCUUGUUGUUGGGUUAAAGUAAAUGAAAAUUUUAAAAUUUUUAAAAUUGUGUAAGAUUAUAAUGGGUUUUAAAAAAAAGAAAAAAGAAAAAGGAUUCCUAAUGGAACGUUCUCCAUGAAUUAGAAUACCACUUCCCACUCAAGAUUUCAAACACUCCAAAAUCAGGAACAACUCUUGAUUUUGUGUGAGUCCCACUCGCAUUUUGAUUUCUCAAUGUGAAGUAAACAUAGGAAUAUCCGUAAUAGAAAUUCAACUGUUUAUUUUAAUUUUGAUUAUGAAUUUGUAAACAUGUCAUAAAUGCUAACCGUAGAUGAAAAUGAUGAACUAAUAACAGUUUAAAAGUGACUUGACUCUAUGAUGAUAUUAAUCACGUGACAAAGUGGCAUUGAUAUUUGUUUUCAUUUUCUACCAAAAGUUCAAAUCAAAUCUGCUACAAUAUGAACACUGUCAAUUACCAAGUAAAAAAAAAAAAGUACACAAAAAGUCGCAGACACCGUUCAAUAAGCAUCAACUUUCUGAAAAACUGUAAUGGGAACACAAGUGUGCGUGCUCCGUAACACCUUUCCAAUUGUUUGAAGGGAGAUUUUGGAAAAGCCCAAAGGAGAGAGAAAAUUUUUAAAAGAAGCAAAAAUGGACAAAAUUGCCCUUAUUUAUUUUUUGAUUUCCUAAGAAAUCCUUUACAUUUGCAUGUCUUUGGUUUGAAAGUUGAGAGGUUAUUCCGUCUUUUUUCAAAAAGCUUUGGCUUUUUCCAAAAGUGAAAAUUUUUUUAUGAGUAAAACCUAAAUUUACUUUGUUUGUUUGAAUGAAUCAACGUACGGUUGGCAGAUAUAAUUUUCAACGCCUUCUAGAAACAAAAAAACAAACUGAGCUGGCAAAAGAAGAAGUUACGUAGAUUUUGCAAUUUCACAGACAGCUACCCGAGACUGGCCAAUUUGUGGGGUCCCUUUUCGUAAUAUUAAACUGGAAGAAAAAGGGAAUUAAUCCAAGGCGGCUGCUGAAUGGGUGAAAAUAAGCUUGUAUCGAAUUAUUUGUGGGUCCCAAUCCAAACCCUUCUUAUCCAUGGACGAUUCAUCAACUUGGAUUUUUUUUAGGAGGAAUUAAUUCGAGUUGCUCUCUAUUUGUCUUGGUGCAGGAUUUUCCUGCUUGCUUCGCUUUCAAGCUGCAAGUUGGUGCUUUUUAACGUCUUCUCCAUUCAAUUUGAUGGGGGCAUGCAUAUGCAUGGGGUUGUGAUUGUGUUCAUAUGGAUAAAGUCUGCCCAACUCCAACGCUCUAGAUGAUUGUAACACCCCACAUUUAGUCACAUUCUAAUUUAUAGUAUCCUGUUCAUGAAAAUCUUUGAGAAAUUAUAGGUAACAUACACGAACACCCAAACGUGAAUUCAAGGCAAAUUAGGGGGCACUUUCAAUUAACCUAGUCACAAUCAUAUUAGAAUUGACAAUUUGAGUUAGCUUAUCACAUUCACGUCAUGUCAUUUCAUAUUUAUAUUGAAAAUUAUUUAAGUAUUCCUCAACUUUUUAAUUUCGUCAAUAACUAACUCAACGAGUUUAUGAUUUAUGUUAUAUUCAAGCUGAUAGACAUAUUUUUAAAACUACAAACUUUUAAAAGCAAAUUCCUCAUAUUUGUGUAAUGGAAAUAGUCGUACCACAUAUAUUGAAAAAUAAGAUAAAUAAGUCAUUUUCUAAGUCUUUUUUAUUCAUGAUUAUACUAUUUUUUUUUUGUCAAAAAUGUUUGUCUCAUAUAGUAACUCAAACCCACUAAAUUCUCAAGCCACCUAGGAAAUUGUCAUCCUUAAUUUACACUCUACGUAUACAAGAAUGCAAAGAAAAUCUUAAACAUGAUUAAAAGGUCCACUCCUUUUUUAGGUAUAAAGCGACAGAUAUUCGGACUAAAAGCAUCAAAGUUUUAUUGCUAAAAAAAUAUUCAGUCCAUGAUUGAAAUUUGUUAAAAGAUGGUUGGCUCCUGCAAAUGGAUCGAUAGGAGGAAGAAGAAACUGGGCCCUUAUGGCGGAAAGGAAAGUUUUGAAUAUUAAUACUAGUUUGAAUUAUUCCAAUUCUGUAAUAAUAAAAAUAAUUCAAGUUGGUUUAUAAGUAAUACUAAAUUUUAACUUUGACUGAUUCAACACAUGUCAAUGGGGUCAUAUAACUUGAUUUUUUUUAUUUAAUAUAAGCGAUAUUAAGAAGGAGAAUCGAACCUAGAACAUCUGUUGCACGAAUAAAUACUAUUAAUAACUUGUGAUACAAACUCCUUUAUUAAUUUAAUUUUUUUUAUAAUUUCUUCAUAAUGCCGACAAUCUUCACCACCACAAUACCGCACAUGGCCUAAUCUAAAAGAAAUGAGUUACAAUAGGGCAUGAAUAAAAUAAUGGUCACCUAACUAUCUUGAAAGAAACAAUGCAGGCACAAUUAUUUAUCAGUCUCUAUAUGUAUUUUAUUUUAUAAUUAAACGAAUUUAAAUUACGCAUACAUUAAGCGUGGAUAACAAUGCUUAACAGCUAAUUCAUGACCUUUGUUUAAAGUAUUCUCGAGAUUCUAUUCCCUUAUGACAAAUUGGUAACAAGCGUGGGUAAUAAAAAAAGUUUAUAUGAGAGAUGUCUCUUGGACAUUAACUUCAAAUUAAGGCUUGAAUUCCUUGAAAAUUACCUUAUUAUACCACUUGAGUUAAGUGGGGCCCUGAUAGACGAAAUGCAUAUAAUGGGAAAUCCAAAACUUGAUGAAGGGAGCGUUUCAUUUCGAAGUUAGCAUUUUGUUAUGGGGGGAAGACAUCCAAGAUUAGAAGAGCAAAGAAACUCUUCAAUAAUUUAUGACAAGCUUUAGCUUUGAUCUCCGCCAACAACCUGAAAUCAAGACUUUCUCUCUUCUUCUUCUUCUUCUUCAACACCUCUAACCCUAAUGAGACAUGCUCUCUCUUGAGUAUGAGUUCCUUUUCUUUUUCUUUUUUCUGCAUGCAACUAGUUUCCUCUAUCUCUAAAUUAUAGCCUCUGCAAUUCGAUACUUUCGAAGCUUUUACUGACUUGAUCGUUGGAGAGUCUUUGAGAAACACCAAAAUGAUACCCGCUUACUUUGAAAGUCUUUUUCUUUGGGCCAAACAUACUUUUCAACUGAACUGUAGGAAGUUUGCGUCCGUGGAAAAAGACUACCCCUACUACUAUACAUAUUCAUGAUGCUCCAAGUCCAAGCCUCCAGCCAUCAUUUCCCUUCUAAAGCCAAGGUAGAGACGAAUCCCGGCACGUGGGAAGACCCCACACAUGUGGAAAAGUAGACAAGAUACCAUCUCUCAUGAUUUGCAUCCGAAUAAUGCUAAACAUAUAUUUUUUUAACUCUCUAACAUAGAAUGAGAUGUACAUACGUCUUAUAUGAUUUCAUACUCUCUCAUAUUAUGUGAGAGAGUUAAAACAAGAGUUGGAAGAAUAGUCAGUGUAGUGCGUCCAAUAUUAUCAUUUAAAUUUCUCGAGAUCUUUGAUCUUUCCACUUAGAUAUCUCAAAGUGAUCUUGACAUAGAAAAAUCUUCUUAUUGCCUAUGAGAUACAAGCAGAAAGUGUUAGAAGAUGAUGAUGUGAUCUGGAAACAUAUCCAACUUCGACUGGUCAGCACCAACUAGCUAUAUAUAGUCAACUGAUAUUUCUCCUCUCCACUUCAAUAUUGUAAGACGUUUGAACAUUCUGCUCCAGUGAGAGUGAGCUAGCAGAGGAAUAAAAAGGAUAGUUGCUUCAUACCGGCACCUCAUUCAUAUGAGUAUGACCUUUUAAAAUAAUAUAUAUAUAUAUAUAUAUUUUAAUUCAAAUUUCAAUCAUUGAUAAACUUUGAUUAAUUUCUAAUAUAUAUUUGGUCUGGCUAAGGAACCCUCCUUGGAAGCUUCUUAUAGGAGGAGGAUGCUUUUAAGUUUUAACGCCAAGUUUGACCAGAAAUUUGGGUCCCUGCAAUUGAGCAGAAAUGAAAGCAAGGAAUCGACCAAUGGGACACGUUUCAUAUAUCUAGAAGGUCUCACCUUUGACUUGCGGAUUUUGUACGCAUCAUUAGGCUCUCCCCUAAUUUAUUAUUGGUUAAGUUGACACAAAAAGCCAUUGGGAAGCAUCAAUUUACAAGAAUCUUUAAGUUGUUAACGCAGAAAAGACAUGGGAAAGCCUCAAUAUACAGAAUCUUCAGGCCGAUGCACGGUCAAACUGUCACAUAGUGUUAUAAAUUUAUUAACGUCAGAUAAUGCUAUUAGCUAUAAAUUAAUAACACUAUAUAACAACAUGACCGUACAUAAUAAGCUAAAAUUUUUCGUUCUUCCAAAUUAAUGAGUGAACUAUCUAGUUUGUUACCACCCUAGAAAAUCUGCCACUCCUAGUGUAGAGAUUAACCGGGCAUUUGAGGGCACUCCCCCCCAGUUGUUGUUGUAAAAUAGUCAAAAGCUAGAGCUAAAUUAAAAGGGCAAAGCCAAAAGAUCUUGACAUGGACACAUUCGAGAAAGCUAGAAAGAAAAAUGAGUAAAUGAAAUGGAGCAAAUGAAGUAAGAUGGCAUAGGUCAUGCUAAAGGAGAUUUCCCUGUCCAUAAUUCUUGGAGACUUGGAGUUACCCUGAUGACGGUCCACCAAGGGAACAUCUCAUGCACAUGGAAGACUAUUUUUAUUUUUAUUUUUUAUUUUUUGGGAAAACUACCAAUAAUGUCUCAAUAUACUGACUUUUGUACCUGAAGUUGCAUUCAAACCACUAGUUUAACUUUGAUGAUGGAUACAGUAGAGGUCAUUUUAGAUAUCAAAUUUGUUUAUUUAGUUUUAAUUUUUUGGUAUUAAUAAAAUUUAAGGGGGAAAACCUUGAAUUUUUUUUAUUUUUUUUUUGGUUGUAGAAUUCAAGAUUUAGUUAUAUUAUAAAAUAUUUAGAUAUUCCAAGAUAAAGAUUAAGCUAUACAAGUAGGCCCUUAUUAUAAGUUGGUUUUGUAUUAGCGGCGUAUUAAUGGAUAAUAAGAAUUAGGUUUACUAUAAUUAUCUUUCUUCGUCUCUUCUUUCAACCUCUAUUGAGUCCAAGUAUCUACUCUUCCCCUUCUUUCUCCUCUUCAGGAUGAACAGUCCCUAUCUCCCUUUUAUCAGCAUCAUAGCCUACUCCUCCCUUUUAAUGAUUUGGCUAGUGAUAAGUCUCACACUCACAGUCAAUGCUCUAAUUAGGAUAAAUAUCGAGGUAAAGUCUACAUUAAGAAUUGUUUAAGGACUUUUAAUAUCAAACAUUAAAUAUCAUAUAUAGUCUGUUAAAAAAUAUAUUUAAUUCACUAACAUAUCUACUUGAUUAGUGAGAUUAAUUAGAAUUUUACCAAGUAGUUUUUAAUAAAGGAAAAUACUUUCCUCCUUAUUAUGAAAGUAGGAGCUCCUACGUUUCUGCCAAUAAAAGUGUGAUAUGCAUUUUUAAUGAAUUAUUUUUGCAUAUAUGUCAAACUGUGAUUCGCAUAAAAGAAAAGUAUCUUCUUAUAGAGAAGGAAGCAAAGCAGUAUCCUUUAAUAAAAAUCUUUAAUUUUUUUAAGCUAUAGUUUUCUAUGCAAAACAUAUAAUAAAUCCAUAUAUAUAUAUAUACAAGCAACACGCAUUCAAUUCAUUUGGACAGCUCUCCAAGUGUUUUACCCUGUCACCAUAGCAGUGCCCACUGGCCAAUUGCAGGAUAUUUAUCUUCUAUUGUGUCUUUGUCAGGUUUUCUUUGUACUCAAAUAAAUUUAAGUUUGUUAGGACAUUAAUUAUUAUAAUGUGGUAGCAUUUUCCUAUUUUAUAUUAGGGUCAUGCUAGGGAGACCAACUUUAGAUACCAACUUGUGUACCAACUCUCUAAUAGAGGUGGAGCCCACCAAUACAAUGGGUCCUACACUCUAUUAGAGAGUUGGUACACAAGUUGGUAUCUAAAGUUGGUCUCCCUAGCAUUUUCCUUUAUAUUAUAAUUGAACACAAAGUUUCAGGUUUUGAUUCUUUCAAUUUUGCUUUGUCCCUAGAGUUGGCCCAAAAACCCUAUUUGCCAACUGCAUGUAAUAAAAACCCUAAAACACUUUGGUCCCUUGACCUCUUAGCUUCAUGUAACAUGUAUUAUGUACCACACGUUUUAAAUAGGCAUGCUUCACAAAGCACCGUCAAUGUUGACUGUGACAGAAUGUCAUGAGGCAAACACAUUCUGGGGCAUGCCAACCAUGACUCAUAGUAGUAAAUUAUAUAUAUAUAUAUAUAUAUCACGCCCAACAUGCACAAUAAUUUGUUUGGAAUUGUGAAUCAAAUACAGAUGUUGUAUUUUUCUUUUUUAAAAGUCGACAAAUGAUUUAAUUAAGUGGUAUAAAUUGUACCGAGGUCUUUUGAGAAGAAUUUCUAUAUGUGGAUGGGCUCGGAGGCUAUAUCACACCAUGACGAAUUUAUGUGGUUAAAUUGGGGAGAAUGUUGGUUUAAGUUACAUGGCUGGGUAGGUCUUUAUUGAUUUAUCUAGUUUUGCAUUUGUAGGAUUUUCCUCCCUUUGCCUGAUGGCAUUGUUGACAACUAAAGUGAUAACAACUAAAGAUUUUUGUGGUCUGAAAAUGACAACUAAAUAUGAUUUUUCAAAUAUUUGUACGAGGUAAAGGCACUAAUAAUGAUUGGAUCCUGCUUAAGCCCAAAUGUGGGAAUAUUUUGAAUCCAGCGACCCAAAUGUGGUAAGAUAUUGAUUUCCUGAGCACAAUACCAGGAUCGGGAGGGAAAUGUGAGAAGAAAAGCAUUGCAUCUUUCCUUCCAAAUCUCCCAACAUAUAAUGCUAACAGAUGCCAACACUUCCUUUCGCACAUGAUUAUGAAUUGAAUAAUUGGAGCUCAGGGCCAAAAGCCAAACAUCGAACUUGGAGAUUCUCUGUAUCUCCGGUUCGUAGCUCAGAGGUGCGCCAAACCACACACCCUUCACCUGCGGACAAAGAAAUAAAAUAUGCUCCAUAGAUUCCUCAUGUAGUUCACAGAAAGGACAUAGAGGAUUGCAACUAACUUUCCUCCUAUAUAAAUUAAAUUUGGUAGGGAUGGCAUUUGACACUACCCUCCCUUGCUUUGGAACCACAUCAAUUUUCCAAAUUGUAUUCCACACAUGAGUAUCAAUCUGGUGAGAAGAAUGGGCAGGAAGGGAGUUUUUUCCCAAGCUCGAGAAAGCCCAAUAAUAACACACGAGCCCAAAAAGCAUCCGGAUUAUUCCAGAGUCUCCAGCACUGCUUUGUGAGGACGGCUAAAUUGAAAGUCUCAAUGUCCCUGAAGCCCAUACCUCCAUCACUCUUGGAAAGGCAAAGAUGCUCCCAACUUCUCCAAUAAAUCUUGUUCCGUCCGUCAUCAUGCGAUCCCCACCAAAAUCUACUAAGAUCCCCAUUAAUAGCUUUGCAAGUGGAGGAGGGAAAUUUGAAACAAGACAUAAGAUAAGCAGGUAUCGCAAGAGCCACAUAUUUGAUUAGAACUUCCCUACCAGCCAUGGUCAAAGAACUGGCUUUCCAACCAUGCCAUGUACCAUCUUCUGAAUUUUGUCGCAAAUAUACCCUAGAGCCUCCUUUUUUGAUCUGCCCCGAAUUGCUGGGAUCCCAAGGUAAACUCCAGGAUCGGUGGUUGGGUUGAUCCGAAAAGCUACCCCAAUUUCAGCUCCUAACUCGGGGGAAGCAUUAGGAGACAAAUAGAUGGAGGAUUUGCUGUAAUUCACCUGUAUCAAGCAAGUUCAGGAAACUUCUGCAGUUCUGGCUAGUGGCUCUCAAAAAGACUAGAGGGUCAUCUGCAAUAAAUAAGUGGGAUAGAGUUGGGGCUCCCUACUCAAUUUAAUUCCCUGUAAUGUUCGAAUCUCAGAUAGUUUGUUCUAUCAGCAUUUCUAUUCUUUCAAUAGUAGGGUUUGAUCUUUAAAUGAAAUGAUUCAACUGGAACUGAUGAAUCAAAACAUCUAUUUGAUAAAAUUCGUGGACAUUUUUCACUAUCAGUGAUGAUAAAGUGCAGGAUGAGAGACAAAAAACAAACAUCCAUAUUUGAACAAGCAUGAGGUGAAACCACAUAUGAGAGGAUAACGACGUUUUGAAUGAGCUGCUGAAGCGUUCAAUGAAAAGGGUGCAGUAUUUAUAACCAAGCAGAAAAUUCCAUUAACAACAAUUUCAAACGAAAAGUUUCAGAUUUCAAAAAAAGUACAGAAUCUGCUACUAAGCAAUUAUUAGGGCAAACAAACACAAAAAAAUCAAGAGCACCACUUGAGACU